Long non-coding RNA from Daphnia pulex (common water flea), 1500 nucleotides. RefSeq lists it as uncharacterized. NCBI's taxonomy places the organism in Eukaryota, Metazoa, Arthropoda, Branchiopoda, Diplostraca, Daphniidae. The record is from RefSeq and is a predicted model, not a curated record. The transcript has 5 exons.
CAGAUGUCGGAUCGUCCAUGUUCGUCCACGUCUUUGGGGCGUACUUUGGUUUGGCUGUUAGUUUCGUUUUAUAUCGCGGCACGGCUUAUUGCGCUGACAGACAGUCCAGGAAAGACGAAGCCAACAGUGACUCAAUUGGCGAAACCCUUUCCACUGCUGUUGGCACUAUGUUUCUGUGGCUUUUGUGGCCUAGUUUCAACGCGUGUUUGGCAAAAGGUGAUGCCAAGCAAUUUCGAGCCAUCAUCAACACCUAUUAUUCACUAUCGGGAAGUUGCGUGACAGCGUUUGCCGUCUCGUCUCUUGUUUUCAACUGCUUCGUGUGCGCUGAAGAUAACAGACGACGCAGUUUUAACAUGGCAAAUAUAUUACUAGCCUACUUAAAAGACGGAUGAAAUUUGGUUAGGAUAAUUGAAUGCCGAUAUACAGGUUGUUUUUCAAAACUCGACCCUUGUUGGUGGAGUUGUGAUCGGUACAUCUGCCGAUAUGAUGAUCAACAUAUGGGGAGCCAUGAUAAUUGGUGGUUUAGCUGGAGCAGGAUCUAUAUUCAUAAAUCGUUUUUCAACCACGAAAGCUGUUCACCGUAUAAUUGGAAUACGCAACGCAUGGGGAGUAAUCUCUUUGCACGGAAUCCCAGGUAUUGUAGCUGGUUUUGUGGGCGCAAUUGUAUCGGCCGCUGCGACUAAGGAAGAUUAUGGUUUCAGGUUCUAGAUCUAGAUAACAAAUAAUUUUGCUGGGUGUUGAUUUGAAGAAGAAAUUUUCUUGGGUCACGACAGCCUUUACCGACAGUUUUCAGCACGAUCUCCACUCAAUAGUUCCAGCGAGUUAUCAAAAAUUCAGUACUACGAUUUAAAAAUUGACCCUGGUCGAGAAAGAACAGCUUUACAACAAGCAGGAUUUCAGAUUGUUACACUUAUCGUGACCCUAGUUAUCGCAAUUAUAGGAGGCCUUGUAACAGGGACGAUUCUUUCGUUGUCUUUCUUCCGUCAACCGUAUGAAGAAAAUGACUCGCAACCUGAUCAGCUAACGCUUGUUGUUGACCAGUUAUUGCUCUCUGAAAGACGUUUAAACGUUAUUAAUGCAACCAACUAAACUAGUGCAAUCGUUAUUUUGACCGAGAAUUUGUCGUCCACUUGUUAACUGGUAAAGCCGUUUGAGCUGGUAAAACACUAAAAUUGAUAAAGCAAAUGCUGACGUUUGGUUUUAUUACUUUUCAAAGCGAAACUUUGCGUUUCUUUUUCUCUCCUAAGUUUCAGACAAGGAAUACAAAGUGUAAUAUGUAAAAAUAACAAAUAUUAAUUUAAAAAUUCAUUAUAAUAGAGAAACUGAGAAAGUAACUGACGCGUACCCCCCACCUACCCCUGGUUUGUGAACGCACUCCGGAGGAAUCCGCCAUGUUUCCACCUUGUUCGUGUUUCUCUUGAGUGAUUCGCAUAGGGGGGAUUCCUUAUGAAAACGACCAAAACCUGUGGCGACCAUCUCACGGAUUUGAUCGCCACUAAC